GCCGGUGUGGUGAAAUUGGUAUACACGACGGAUUCAAAAUCCGUUUCUUUCGGGAGUGGCGGUUCAAGUCCGCCCACCGGUACCA
RNAcentral lists this transfer RNA (85 nucleotides) under Vibrio vulnificus. Its description in RNAcentral is "tRNA-Leu". It matches the Rfam family "tRNA". Rfam says of the family: Transfer RNA (tRNA) molecules are approximately 80 nucleotides in length. Their secondary structure includes four short double-helical elements and three loops (D, anti-codon, and T loops). Lineage: Bacteria; Pseudomonadati; Pseudomonadota; Gammaproteobacteria; Vibrionales; Vibrionaceae. The record is from RNAcentral.